CUCACACACACUGUGGCUGAUUUUCACAGUUAUGGGCCCCUAAUGUUUCCUUCUUCAUAGUAUCUUACUCAUGGGAAGUGCUGCCGACCCUGACCCUAGGCCUCAGCAUGUGACUUUCUUUCUCAAACAGAUCUAAAGCAAUCACACUGACCUCUUUAAUCCACAUUAAUGAUGCUGUUGAGGAGGUAAUGUGUGGGGCAGGGGAGCAUGGUAUGUUCUUACAGUUGACUCUCCCUGGUUUGGUUGCCCUCUUCACCUGAGCACCUUUACAAGGAAUCUCCAGUGAUACAGCUGAUUUUCUCUCUUUCCUCCCUUCCGCAGAUGCUGCACCCAGGGCUACCACCUUGAGUCUGACUCCUCUUGGCUAAUUUUAUCAUUUGCAUGAUAGAGGAAGGCUGAGGAGGAGGGGUCUGUAAUAUGGAAGUACUUCCUUCCCCCACAUAAACUAAGAUUUUAGAGAACACCUUCCCUCGGAUGAGCUUUCUAGAAAAGUCUUUUUGUGCAUUUUUUCUCAGUGAUUACUCCUCCCCAGUUCGUGGCUAUAGGGAAUCUAUUUUAAUCGCUUCCAUGAGAACCUGAAGGCCCUGGAGGGCAAGUCCACACAAGUGUGGGGUGUACAGCCUCUAGGAGCGCUCACCUUCCCCCUAGUCCACACUUGUCCUCCAGACAUUCAGCGUAAUCACCAGUUUCUGGCUUUUAUACAGAAAGCAGCUAUUCAGUGUGGGAAUGUGAAAAAAAUGAGAAAACUGUGAUUUUAUUCUGACCUCAUUAACAACAAAGCUGAACAGCUACAAAUAAAAGAGAGAAAAAGCAUUCAACAUAUCUGAGUCGAUUUCACCGAGCAAACAAGAAAACUGAAAUCUGACAAGAUAGGAGCCUGCAAAGAGAACCAGGACCUACCUGCUAGUGUACAUAGGGCAGGUGCCACUGGAUGGCAUUUGAGAUAGAAACAGACUAACCUAGAAAUACUUAAUGACUUUUUUUUAGUAUGCAUGUACUAAUGGUGUUAGAGUGGCCUAGUGCUUGCAAGCUUUUCCUAGAGAACUUGAAAAAUCCACGGACAACUUCCUCAUCUGGUGUCUUGUGGUGUUGACUGGGGAAAAGAACAGCAGCUCCUGUGGAAUGCCUGGAUGCACCUCCACUACCUCCAGGGGAAAUCCACCAAAGCAUGUGUCAUGUGAGCUGUGGUGAAGUCAACAGAAACAAAAGGAAACAGAGGACACCAAGGAAACUUGAUCCAGAAACACCUCCCAUCUCCUUCCUCAGGAAAGAAAUCCUUACUCUUUAGGGUAAGGAUAGUGGGUAAAAAGCUGGGGACACUGGUGAAAAACAAUUCUGUAUGGGAAAAUACAUUCCAGCCCUGGGGAAAGAGUUAAGGACAGGACAAUCUGCAAGGCCACUCCCCAGAACUAUGCUUACUACUCCUGCAUAAGAAGAAGACUCAGUCAGAAGGUUGGAGGACGUCCCGCUUUGUCCAAGCUCCUUCACCACACAGUCAGCAAUUUAAACUGUCAGUAGGGUGCACUUUCCACAGCUGAAAGAGACAGACUCCCUGGGGAAAACUAAAUAUAAAGACCCAGGAUCAAACAGGGACACAAAAGCAAGUAUCAUGGGAGGAACUUGAAAUCUCUGUGGACAGCAGAAGCUGACUUCAACUCUGAUAAUUGUGGCAUCCAUAAAUUGCAAAUAUAGCCCUGAAUAGAUACACACAAAUGUCUAUAAUGAAGGCCCAGCAGAAUGGAAUGUGUGACCAUCUUCAGGAAGAAAAUAAUGAAUACAUGAGUACAAGAAAAUAAAUUACAAAUAAAAGUCAAACUUGAAUUCUAUAUGUAUUAAAAAUUUCAUUUAAAGAGAAAGUCAAAUGAAUACCCUGUAAGACAAUUCGAUUCUGAGAAAAUUUAUUGCCAGUGCAUUCAUCCUUCAGUAGGUGCUUUGGCAAAUUUUCUGCCAGGGUGAGUAGCCAUAUGAUAUACAUCUGAAACAUGAAUCUAUCCAAAUAAAACAGGUGGUCAAGAAUGAAAAAA
RNAcentral lists this long non-coding RNA (2024 nucleotides) under Homo sapiens (human). Its description in RNAcentral is "HSALNT0379754". Lineage: Eukaryota; Metazoa; Chordata; Mammalia; Primates; Hominidae. The record is from RNAcentral.